AAUAAAUCUUGCAUGACCGAAUCGAAAUUGUGUGGCUUGCGAAACAAAUUUGAGAAGUGAAAAUACACAUGUACAGCAUUUUUGGCAUAGUGCAAAGAACGACUAGGUUGAACAAAAACUCAAGUGUCACUUAUAGCCUCGCCAUUGUGGGAACCCAUUAGCCGCUGGCAAUGUUCACACAAGUGGAUGACCAAAGGGAAGCAUGAAAAUUGCUGGAAAGACAAUUGGAAGAAAAGCUAGGGCUAACUACACACUGAAGAUUUUAUACACUUGUCGAUAUAGGGCUUAUUUAAUAGUUGUGCAAAAUAGAUUAGUUCGGUUUAGAUAAAGUAAAAUCAAAAGCAACAAAUUACAAUUCAUGCAAUAGACUGACUGACCACUGAUCUAGACUCUAGAAGAUAUUUCUCUGCAUUGCACAUAUUCAAUCAAAAUUGAAAUGCCCUCAACUUGAGCAUUCAACACGCCUGUGCAAUCGUUCAUCGGCGAGUGCAAUUUAUCAUGCCAAGCGUAUGAUUUACUGUGCGUAUGACGUAUACGCACUGAUGUCCGUCAGUUGAAGUGGAAAUGCGGCAAUGCAAGUUA
Drosophila mojavensis is the source of this 582-nucleotide long non-coding RNA. RefSeq lists it as uncharacterized. The record is from RefSeq and is a predicted model, not a curated record. Lineage: Eukaryota; Metazoa; Arthropoda; Insecta; Diptera; Drosophilidae. The transcript has 4 exons.